Molecule: ribosomal RNA, 209 nt
Filed under: Bifidobacterium sp. 316
Lineage: Bacteria; Bacillati; Actinomycetota; Actinomycetes; Bifidobacteriales; Bifidobacteriaceae
Description: partial 16S ribosomal RNA
Rfam family: Bacterial small subunit ribosomal RNA
Source: RNAcentral
GCUUUCGUGGCAUGGGAUGGUGUCGCGUCCUAUCAGCUUGUUGGCGGGGUGAGGGCCCACCAAGGCGUUGACGGGUAGCCGGCCUGAGAGGGCGACCGGCCACAUUGGGACUGAGAUACGGCCCAGACUCCUACGGGAGGCAGCAGUGGGGAAUAUUGCACAAUGGGCGCAAGCCUGAUGCAGCGACGCCGCGUGAGGGAUGGAGGCCU